CCCCACUACAGGGCAAUCUACCUCUCUCAUGGACUGAUGCAAAGUUAAGGCCAGCGAGUUCAUCCUUUGUAGUUGGACCAGGGACUGUCAGGAUAAAGGUUUUACACAAUUCCCCUGCCCUCAUACCUUCCCAGUGUUUAUUCAUGCUGUACAUUUGCCCAUCAGAUAUUCUGAGGAUCUGCUACAAGCAGGAGUGACUGCAGAUACCAAAGAGAAAACAAUGAGUGGAAUUUCAGAGUGAGAGCAGUCAUAAGGUUUUCUGCUCAUGAGGGGAGAGAAACAAAAUGCACAAAACCAAGGAAAUUGCAGAAUGACAAAUUGUGUUAAGUGCCCUGAUCAGGGUACUUUGUUCUUGUAUUGAGAUGGAGACCAGGAGAUUCAUCAUGGAGCCAGUGGAUACUGAUAGGAGAAAGGGGAGGGAAUCUUCAGGAGGAAGUAAGGGAAAAGCAUACAACCAUUGGAAAACUCAUUUCUUGUACUCCCUAACUACCGUGCCCAUACAAUUUCUAGGGAUCUUUGUAAAUAUAUCUACUCUAAUCUCUCCACAAUACCAAUGUAAGUCUCUCCAACUGAAAUCAUUCAUGGUCUAUGUUUCUAGUGAAAAAAAAAAUCAUUGGGACAGUGCUGUGCACAGCAGGUUAAAGCCCUGGUCUGAAGCACCAGUUUUCCAUAGGGGUGCCAGUUCUAGUCUCGGCUGCUCCUUUUCUGAUCCAGGUCACUGCUGUGGCCUGGGAAAUCAGUAGAAGAUGGCCCAAGUCCUUGGGCACCUGCACCCAUGUGGGAGACCUGGAAGAAGCUCCUGGCUCCUGGCUUCAGAUUGGCACAGCUCCAGCCAUUGUGGCCAUCUGGGGAGUUAACCAGCGGAUGGAAGACCUCUCUGUCUCUACAUCUAUCUGUAACUCCAUAUUUCAGAUAAAUAAAAUAAAUCGUUAAAAAAAAGAAAAGAAAACAUCAUUAAUGUGGGCCAGCAUACUUGUGCACUGAAUUAUGCAGCUGCUUGCAAUACCAGGCAUCCCAUGUUGGAAAGCUGCAUAGAGUCCCAGCCCCUCUGCUUCUGUUCCAGCUAUCUGCUAAUGUGCAUGGGAAGACAGAAAAGAUAUUCCCAAUACUUGGGCCCUUUCCACACACAUGGAGAUCCAGGUGGAAUUCCAGGAUCCUAGCUGCUUGCAUGACAUUUUGAGUGAACCAGCAGAUGGAAAAUCUCUGUCUCCCUCUUUCUAUCACUCUGCCUUUCAAAUAAAUAAGUACAUCUUUUCCAAAAAAUCAAUGAGUAAAGCACAGGAGAAACCAAGGUGAUGUCCACCCUCCUCUCUUCUCCCUCUGCUGCCCUAACCGCCCCUCAGAGAGGGACUGAGCAGUCAGACGUAGCUGGACUGCUGUGCUUUGGCCCGAGGCCACACGCAGUGUGAGGCAUGUUGUCCUGAUGGAGGGCACACCAAGCUGAGCAUCCAGGGUGCUGUUGUGUGCUGAAUGGGACUAAGUCGCUCACUUGCAGGUGCUCGGUGACUCUGGAUCUGUUAUACUUGAAAGGAUGUCAUGUGCAUGUAGAAUUAGACCCAUUUGUGAAGACUAUCAAAUGGAGAAAUGACCCCUAAAGCAGAACAGAAAGACUGUAGAAAGGAAAAAGAUUAUAGAAAAGAAAGUUAAUCUCUUGGGAUAGAUUAAUAAAUUGACAUGUGGUGUCUCAGUGGGCUGAGUGCCAAAUAGCUGGAGGAAUUCAGCUAUUCAGACAGGAGGAAUUCAGACAGGAUGUACCCUCUUCUGAGAACGUCGUAGAGAGGAUUAGGUGGUUUGAUCUGAAAUUUAUGACUGUCUGACUCUAUGGGGAUGCCUCAGGGCAGGUGAUGGGAAUAAAUACAGCUGGAAUCUACCGCUAGGACCUUCUCAAAAAUGGGCUCCAACAUGUUCCGGUUGUUUCUUCUGGGCAUAUUCAUAGUUCUCUUCAUUGGUGAGAAAAAGGGAUGCAGGGAUGGGUGACAAGAGAAUGUAUGGGGAGGAAGAAAGUGGAUUCUACAUAAGGCUUUUAUGUUUGUGUAAAAUUAUUGAUGGAGAACUUUUCUUCUUCUCUUCACAGGAGACAGAGUCCUGACAAGCAAAUGGAUUCGGUUUUGCAAUGAAUGUGAUCACUUUGAUGGAGUCAAAUGCCAUGGUGGCAUGAAAAGUUGCUGGAAAUUUAAUUUUUCCUCGAAUAACAGGAGUUGUGCCACAAGUCACUAUUACUAUUCUCAUCGCCUUUCAGAACUUCUGACAUACCAUGUAUGAUAGCUGGAGAACACCAUCUGUAAUAAGAAAGAAUCAUAGAGGAAAAGCUGAUGAUCCAGAUCUUCCAAGGCAAGUCAAACUUGAACAUUUAAUCAGGCAUCAGGGUAGGUAGAUGAAUGGUUUCUCAGUUGACACUUGUCAAGAGCAUGCAGUCAGAGAGUUGCAGAAAUCACUGGCUAGCUAUAGCAGGUUUGGGUUCGCCAAGAACCCUCACCACCUUGUGUAGCUGAUUUAUUUAUUUAUUUAUUUUCUUGCUAGAAGAUUAGCAAUUAGUGCUUUAGUGUCUUCAAAUUCAAAUGCUAUUUGGUCAGUUUUUUUUUUUUUUUGACAGGCAGAGUGGACAGUGAGAGAGAGAGACAGAGAGAAAGGUCUUCCUUUGCCGUUGGUUCACCCUCCAAUGGCCGCCGCGGCUGGCGUGCUGCGGCCGGCGCACCGCGCUGAUCCAAUGGCAGGAGCCAGGUGCUUCUCCUGGUCUCCCAUGGGGUGCAGGGCCCAAGCACUUGGGCCAUCCUCCACUGCACUCCCUGGCCACAGCAGAGAGCUGGUCUGGAAAAGGGGCAACCGGGACAGAAUCCAGCACCCCGACCGGGACUAGAACCUGGUGUGCCGGCGCCGCAAGGCGGAGGAUUAGCCUAGUGAGCCGCGGCGCCGGCCAGCUAUUUGGUCAGUUUUAUUGGGAAUAUAGAAUUCCCAGCUUUGUGCUCCUGCCUGGUAGUCCCAGUACUGGUCUAUCUGCAUUUAACAGGAACUUGAAUUACCUGCACUCAGUUGCAUUCCACACUUGAUUUCUUCCUCUGCUUUGGCCUCAGUCUGAGCUAUAACAUUGCUGAAGUCCUUUUGAAAGAAUUCUAAGAAUCUCAUAGCACCUCUAGCCCUCUCACUUACCCUGUAAGAUCUUUAAGAUCAUGCAUGUCUCGUGUUUCUGAGCAGUACAGACACCAAAGCCUCUUCUACAGCGGUCUGUCUGUGUGCGAAGGUGGCAUGUUACACAAAUCAGUGACGUCACUGCUGGAGAAAGCACAGAUCUGAUGUGAGACCAAGCAGAGGCAGGGACUUGGGAUGUAGUUGAAAAUAUUCAGGCUUGGGGUGGAGGGAUGUGGGGUGGGUGGAUGACAAGCUGGUGUGGAGUAAAUAGGUGGUAAACAGUUGAAGCUGUGACCUACUCUUCAUCCCACAGUGAUGGACAGAAAGUGUCUUUGUGCAAAUGAAAGUAGCCUGGUCCUAACGUCAGCCUUUUAUUAUUAUUUUUAAAAUAUACUUUUAUUUUUAAUUGAUACAUAGAGAGUACAUAUGUGGUAUAUACUGUGAAAUUUCAAUACCUGCAUAGAACAUGUAAUGAACAGAUCAGAGUAAUUGACAUACCUGUUAUCACCUAACACAUUUACCAUUACUUUGUGUUGGGAACAUUCAAAAUCCUUUCUACUAGCUAUUUUGAAAUAUUCAAUCAAUUGUUGCCAACCACAGUUGUUCUUUUUUGCUAAAGAAUAGUAACUGUUGGUCCUCGUCUCCAUGAGCAUCGUGUACCCUCUAACCACUCCUCUCUCCCUGACACCUUUCCCAGGCCCUGGUAACCACUAUUGUGCUCUACUCUUUUGAGAUCAGCUUUUUUUUCUAGUUUACAUAUAUUGAAUAGCAUAAAAAAAUAUUUGCACCUUCCACAUGAAGGUGGGAACAUGUGGUGUUUGUCUUUCUGUGCCUCACUUGUUUCUCUCAACAUGAUGUCCUCCAGUUCUAUCCAGUUGCUGCAAAUGAGACUUCUCUUCUUUUUAUUUCUGAGUACUAUUCCAUUGUGUAUGAAUACCACAUUUUCUUGAUCAGUUAUUGCACUAUUGGACACUAGGUUGAUUUCAUACCUUGAACUUCAGCUCUCUUAAUGCAGAUAAUUCCAAGCAAAAAUGUAGCCUCCCUGUGGUUGAUUUCUCUAGCUUAAAAGCAGUACUAUUAAUGCUGGCCCAGACUACUUGGCAGGGCUGUGGAGACACAUGAAUGUGAUAAUGAUGGUGAGUGACUUAUUUUUAUCCUAGCCAGUGUUAUUAUUAUAGAGUUUUCUACACUUUAGGGUUUUUUUUUAUGUAUAUUGCUUCUGUUUAGGUAUUGUUAGGUGACAUAUUGUGCUAUUUUGAACUUCAAACUGGAUCUAAGUAAAGAAUUUGGAUUAUGGCACAAUUAGUGACACCUUCUCAAAUGAGCAACCAAAGUGUGAUUUCACAGAGGAAGAAUCUGAGACUUGAUGACGUCCAGAAUCUGCCCCAUGGCUACACAUCUAGUGACGACUAGUGCUGGUAUUCAAAGCAAGACUUUCUCAUUUUAGAGUCCAUCCUUUUCACAACCAUGACUCAAGAUCUCUUUGAAAUUCAUGUGUACAUUCAGCAUAUAUUUACUGAGGUAUUCAAUAUGAUGCACAGUUCCUAGUAGAGCAGUGAACGAGAUAUACAAGCUCAUGUAGCCCCUUACUUACCUUAUUUAUGUAUGAAAAGCAGGAGAAGGAAAGAUGAAGAGACACGGUCAGCCUUCAACUUAGAACUUCCGAUUCUCAGCUCAGAACUCUUUCUCCUACCAGAAAUCCGUGCUACAAGACCAGAGAUUAUUUGACUUCGUGGAGUUGUGAAAUCACUCCUACAAUUAUUUCACAACUUGAUCUGAAACAACUACACAUUUUGUAUCUGCUCAAUUUUUUUCAUGGGUUAGAUGUUGAUUUCUGUAGGAAAGCCAUUCUAACUGGGGUGAAGUAAAACCUCAUUGAACCACAUGUCCUUUAAUUAUAGGAGCAAUAUGUUCAUUAAAAUAUCGGACCUGAGAUUUUUAGACAUCAGAUGAACUUUGGAUGAAAUAACAUCUUGGGUCAGAUGCCGUAAAAUAGGCAAUUUUUUUGUGUGUGAUCAGUCAGAAUUUGGAGCCCAUUUUUGUCUGAGGGCCAAAAGUCUUAGACUUAAACAUGAGACAGUUUGUUCCUUUGAAAAGAAUUGAUUUUUUGGUGGGUAUUUAAUGCAGUAUUUCAGUUGCCACUUGGGUUUAAGUUCCAGUGCCUGGUUUAAGUUCCAGUCCUCUGCUUCAGUCCAGCUUCCUGUUAAAACACACACUAGGAGACAGCAGGUUGAUAGCUCAAGUACUUGGUCCCUCCCACCCAAAGAGGAGACUUGGAUGGAGUUCUAGGCUCCUGGCUUCAACCUGGCCCAUCCCUGGUUUUUAUGGGCAUUUAGGGAGACAGAAGACCUCUAGCUGUCUCUCUGCAUUUCAAAAAAGAAAAAUAAGUAAGUAAAAGUUGUAAAAGGAAAAUAAUUAUAUUCUACAUAGAAAGUCAAAUUGUGGUCUUUGAAUUUAUUCUAUUUAUAUUCUGCCAUAUUUCCAGAUAGGCUUUUUGAAUCCAGAUAGAAUUUUUCAGGACAGCCUCAGGCUUACCAAGAAGGCAAAGCCCUGAGACUGGAGCUGUGGUUUGGCAGUAUCCCUGGGCAUUUCAUUUGUCACUUGUUUUAUCUGCUUUAGGCUCUGUUUAUUGAUAAAGAGUGACACUAGAAUCAAAGAAGCAGACAGUCUAGUGAAACAUCAAUGGGUUUUCAGUUUCUAUUCUUCCUUCAGGGUUCUCCUUGGCAGGUGUUGUCUGAAAGGAUAGCUGAGUUUUGAAUCUCCAGUCUAUUAUUUCCAGUUAGGAUUCCAGAAUUUUCUAGCUCCAAAUAAAUGUUGACCUACUCAUAAUUUCAACAUCUCACUUACCAAUUUAAUUUUGAAAAUGAUUUCUUUCUUCAUUCACCAUGAGAUAGGAGAGGAUGCGUGCUAGAACUUACUAACGAAAGUUGUGUGGUUGUAAUGCAAAGAGCCUGUUCCUGGGAGUCUGGAGACCUGUGGGUGAUCACUGUGUAACUCUUUGUAUCUUCAGCCAGUCACAUAUCUGUGAUGUUACAUCUUAACCAUUCGUUUAGUCCUUUACAACUCCAGCAUUCUAUGGUUCCAUCACAUAAGUCAUGAGGAUGAGUGCCAGGUUCUGUUUUCCUGAAGCACCUGAUGGUCUGUCUGGCAUCUGAUGCCACUAUACAUGAUGCCUGUGACUCACUAGGCAUGGUAAUCCAUGAAUGUAUUCUCUGCCAAGAAGGCCCGCCACUCAGCACAGUUACUGUGUACCCUGCUCUGAGGAGAAGGCAGAACAUUGUGUCCUCAUGUUCUUGGUCUCUCUUGGCUCGAGGGUGAGUAGCUGAGGUCUUGGUGAUAUCAUAGGUGAACAGUCCUUUUAGUUUGUGUUUUCACACGUCCUUGCUUUGAGGGAAUGGAUUCUGGCUUUGGAAUGGAUCAGUGGCCUUGUUCUUGGGCUUCUAGGGAUAGCAUUGAUUUUCUAGAAUAUACACACAUGCGCACACACACACACACUCAAGCUAGAGCCAGAUAAUGAUCCUUUAACAAAAUCUGGUGGAGGAGUGCCUGCUUACAAGGACAAGGACAAAAACCUGGAGUACACAUCUAGCUCUUCUCACUUAUAAUUGAUGGUGGGGAAAAGGUGAAGCAAAAAAGAACAAAACUACUAUUAUUAGAGGCUUACUAUAGGCAAUGCAUGAGGCUAGCCACUUCCAUAUGCAUCAUCUCAUGGAGACCUCGCAGAAACCUAGUGGUGGUAUCUGGCAAGGAGCAAAGCUGAGAUUGAAGCCUAGAUUAAUGUCACUAAAAUUCAAACUACAUUCACCAUAUUGCUCUUAAUAUGCUACUUCAGAUUAAAAGUCACAAUGAAUAACAAAAUAAUUACAAAAAUCAUUUUUGGAGCUGCUUAUGAUUUUUGUGCUUGUGAACAUCAGAUUUUUCUUGGCACCUUACUUCCAAUCCUGUGGUACUGAUUUAGGGUGUAGUGUCCUAUUAGUUUCACAUAACUCAUGAACACUGAUACAAAAAUUUGUAUAUUUUGUUUUUUAUUAAGUUCUAACUGAUAUGAAUCAUUUCUUUCCCUGCUCAGUGUUGGUGGCAGUCUACAAAAACUAUUAACAGAUCUUGAGAGCUUGCUCCACAAGGCAACUUGUGAAAGAUCACAAAUCAAAUGGUUUGAGUUUGAACUUUUUAGGUCUUAAAGGUCAGCCUGGUUUUAUUUAUGUGGAAAUAUUAUUCUGACUUGCAGUGUGAAACCACACAGCAUCAAAAAACAUUUCACUUCUGCCUGUCCUGAAAAUGCAUCUCAGGAUGUGGAUUUUUUUCCUGAUAAGAAAAGUUCAAUUUGAAGAAGUUGGCAUACUUCUAAAUGCAACUUUUCCAUUUUUACAAAAUGCUUUUAUUUGGGACUCCCCAUGCAUUUUUUUAUUAGCUUGAAAAAUGAAUGAUGAUCUAUUAUCAGAAAAAAAAUUAGCAUUGUACAACUAGUUUGUGGACUGCAAAUUGUCAAAUAGAAUAGUUGAUUUAAAAAAAUUGCAGUCAUCGUAGAACUGGCACUUUUUCUAUCCUGCUUCAUUCUCUAAUUGGAUGAGACCAAAAGUAUCUUUUAACAUAGCCAGUUCCCAUUUUUUCCUUUUGGUUUUGCUUGCUCUGGGUAUGCUAAAGGUAUCACAGAAUUCUCGUGUCAUGUUUCUUUUGAAAACUGUGAUAAUCUUCAAGUUUUUGGCAAUAGAAAAAGGGUAAUUUUGUCAUACAGAACUUUGGAAAAUGAAGCUUCUUUUCUGUUCACAGAUGGAGAUCCUAUGAUGCUUGGUAACCAUAUAGAUUUGCUAGUUUAACGAAAAAGAAAUCUCCUCACAUUGUGGCCACUCAUUUGUUUUACAACAACCAAGACUCCGUACAUAACUCUAAAAGAAUUUCUGUCACCAGGCGAAACAGGUUUUCCAAUAUUUUGACUCAUAGUUGAGUUGGAGAUGAUGGAAAAAGCAGAAAGACACUACCAUGUAUGGCUUAAUGGAGAACUACAGAAGUCAGAAGAAUGAUACCGUGGUAAAGGCUGAGAAGCAGACCGAUGGAUGUAUGUUUGUUACAUAGGUAAAGUGUAACAAAGAGGUCAGGCUGAUUUUUUACAGAGUGUUAGUGUAUUUGGGAUUCAUGUGGGAAAAGUACCACUAAUCUACCUUCAUUUAAUAUUUAAAAUGGCUUAUUUAUUGACAAUAAAAUUGUAUGUUUUUAUAGUAUACAACAUGAUGUUUUGCUGUAUGUAUUUACUAAUAAUGACCCCUACUCCAUAACCCACAGAAAUAAUUUUCAGAUGGAUGGCAGAUUUAAAUAGGAAAUUAAAAACAUAAAUAACUUAAAACAAAAGUGAAUGUGUUUAUGUUUAUGGAGCCCUGUUUUCUUAAACAAGACACAAAUUUGCUACCCAUAAAGGAAACAGAGUUUCAUUUCAAUUCAGCCCUUUGAUUACCUAAUGGCAAUGUUAAGGGUCUGAAAGUGUAGUUCACAGAUUCUUAUCACACCCAAAGUGGGAAGAUUACACAGGGAGUCACUUUAUGGUUCACAUCAGGAAGAUAUCAGUUGAAAGUAUAAAGAGAUAUCAUAUGUACCUACCAGACUAGCUAAAAUGAAAAUGAAAAUGCCAAAUAUUGACAAAAAGGUGGAGCAACUGGGACUCUCAUAUCUGGCUGAUAGGAAUGCACAAUGGUAAAUCACUUUGAAGCAGUUUGUCAGCUUCCUAUGAAGUCAAAUAUGUGUUGACUGUACAACUGGGCAAUCCCAUUCCCUAGAACUUUACCAAGAUAAAUGAAAACCUAUACUCAUAAAGACAUAUACAUAACUGCUCACUGCAGCUCUUCCUUUUAAAAAUAAAAUUCUAUUAAAUGCAAAUAUAUUCCAUAUUGACAGAAAACAAACCAGCCAUUGCUUGGGGUCAUGGGUGGGAUGAGUUUUAUUUUAAAGGUCCCAAGAAACAUUUUGUAGUGCUACAAAGGUUUCAUAAUUUGAUUUUAGUGAGAGUUACAGAGGGUGCAUGCAUUUGUCAAAACUCAUUGAUUACAUAGUUACCAUGGCUAAGCUUUAUUUUAUUUCAAUCAUAAUUUAAUAAAGUUCAUUAAAAAUUAAGUGGCACACUGUGGAAGACAGUUUGAAGAUUCCUCAGAAACCUGAAUAUAGCCCUACCACAUGACCCAGCCCCAUCCCAUCCCACUCCUCAGAAUUUACCCAAAGGAAAUUAAAUUGGCAAAUAAAAGAACAGUCUGCACCUCAAUGUUUUUAUUGCAGCUCAAUUCACAAUAGCUAAGACAUGGAAUCAACCUAAAUGCCCAUCAACAGUAGACUGGAUAAAGAAAUUAUGGGACAUGUACUCUAUAGAAUACUAUACAGCAGUAAAAAAAACAAUGAAAUCCAGUCAUUUACAGCAAAAUGGAAGAAUCUGGAAAACAUCAUGCUGAGUGAAAUAAGCCAGUCCCAAAGGGACAAAUAUCAUAUGUUCUCCCUGAUCAGUGACAACUAACUGAGCACCUAAAAAGAAACCUGUAGAAAUGAAACGGACACUAUGAGAAACAAGGACUUGAUCAGCCCUUCUCCUGACUGUCGAGGAAUAACUUACUAUUUUACUCCCUUUAGUAUUUUUUUGUUCUACUUAAUACCAUUGGUUGAACUCUUUAAUUAACACACAAUUAUUCUUAGGUGUUUAAAUUUAACUGAAAAGUGAUCCCUGUUAAAUAAAAGAGUGGGAAUAAGGGAGGAAAGAGAUGUGCAAUUUGUGAUAUACUCAAUCAGACUUGCCCCAAAUGGUAGAGUUAAAAACAUGCCAGGGGAUUCCAAUUCAAUCCCACCAAGUUGGCAUGUACCAAUGCCAUCUCACUAGUCAAAGUGAUCAGUUUCAGUUCAUAAUUGAUCAUACUGGUAGGUCUAAGAGUCAAAGGGAUCACAUAAACAAGACUAGUGUCUGCUAAUACUAACUGAAAGAAUUAAAAAGGAAUGAUCCAACAUGGGAAGCAGGAUACACAGCAGACUCAUAGAAUGGCAGAUGUCCUAAACAGCACUCUGGCCUCAGAAUCAGCCCUUAAGGCAUUCGGAUCUGGUUGAAGAGCCCAUGAGAGUUUCUCAGGCAUGGAAAGCCAAGACACUGUUCCAAAAAAAAUGACCUAAAUGAAAGAUCUCUGCCAGUGAGAUCCCAGUGGAAAGAACAGGCCAUCAAAGAAGGAGGUACUUUUCUCUGAAGGGAGGAGAGAACUUCCACUUUGACUAAGACCUUGUCUAAAUAAGGUCGGAGUUGGUGAACUCAAGAGGCUUCCAUAGCCUUCAGCUCAUGACAAGAGCCUUGGGUGAUUACUGACAUCAUAAAUAAGAGUGUCAAUUGUUAAAUCAACAAUGGGAGUCACUGUGCACUUAUUCCCCAUGUAGGAUCUCUGUCCUUAAUGUAUUGUACUAUGUGAAUUAGUGGUAAAACUAGUCUUUAAACAGCACUUUAUACUUUGUGUAUCUGUUUGGGUGCAAACUGUUGAAAUCUUUACUUAGUAUAUACUAAAUUGAUCUUCUGUAUAUAAAGAUAAUUGAAAAUGAAUCUUGAUGAAGAAUGGGAUGGGAGAGGAAGUGGGAGCUGGGAUGGUUGUAGGUGGGAGGGAGGUUAUGGGGGAAAAGCCACUAUAAUCCAAAAGUUGUACUUUGGAAAUUUAUAUUUAUUAAAUAAAAGUUAAAAAAAGAAAAGAUGAAAGAGUCAAUAAGAAUAUGAAAAUAAAAGGGGAACUUGCUCACUUAUUAUCAUAAAAGAGGAUACUGUUAUUCAUGAUUGCAGUAGUCUUAAGUUCAAACAGCAGAUUUUCACUUCAUUCAAAGUUGAUCAAAUACUUUCCUUUUGCUUCUACCAAAGUUGCUUUCCUGUAGGAUUUUUGCAGCCAAUAUUUUUAAUUUACAUAGAAAAAUAUUGUGGACUGAUUGCUUUCAGAAUAUGAUCCUAGGAGAGAGCCUAGCGACCUGAGGAAUCUGCAGCAUCAUUGGAUCCAGUCUCCACCCUCCUCCACCAUAGUACCACUAUGGGACCAAGCUUCUAGACAUGGAACUUUAGAGAACAUCAAAUGUAAUAUCCAAAGUGCAGCAAGCUGUGAAGAGUUCGUUAUUCUCUGGUCAGGACUGGAAGGCACAGGAAGGAGAAGGCUAGUCUGGAGGGGAGAGCUGGCAAAGCGAUUUUCUGAGAUCUGCAACAGUGAAGCAGGAACAGAUUUGGUCAAUUAAUAAGACCAUGAUUUCUUUUUUAUUAGAGAAUUUAUACAAUUUCAGAUUGGACACAGCUUUAAACUGCUGUGAGGGAACUGGAUAUGGUGGCUUGGCUCUGGGAACGUUGAAGCACUCCAUGUCCCUGAAAUUUUAUGAUGAAAUGAUUUGGAUGAAUAGCUCAGAAACAGAAGACAGGAGAACAACCAGCAGCUUCUGCAAGAAGCAACGCGUGACAGAAGUUGCAGGAUGCUUGUUCCACUUCUGCUGGGCAUAGCUUCUCUAUUCUGUCCAUGUUGCAGUAAGUCCUAGAAAUAAGGUGGUAGCUGGUAGCUUGUUAAUAAAUGGACAGUUUCUUGGAGAAGGAACGUUUCCAGAUUAGCUCUUGGGGCUGUGGCAGAUGUCUGUGUGAUUGUUCUAAGGAAGGUUUU
Molecule: non-coding RNA, 11753 nt
Organism: Oryctolagus cuniculus (rabbit)
Lineage: Eukaryota; Metazoa; Chordata; Mammalia; Lagomorpha; Leporidae
Source: RefSeq, a predicted model, not a curated record